RNAcentral lists this ribosomal RNA (364 nucleotides) under uncultured Alphaproteobacteria bacterium. Its description in RNAcentral is "bacterial SSU rRNA". It matches the Rfam family "Bacterial small subunit ribosomal RNA", at positions 29 to 419 of the family's 1533-position model. Lineage: Bacteria; Pseudomonadati; Pseudomonadota; Alphaproteobacteria. The record is from RNAcentral.
AACGAACGCUGGCGGCAGGCCUAACACAUGCAAGUCGAACGGACCCUUCGGGGUUAGUGGCGCACGGGUGCGGAACACGUGGGAAUAUACCCUUAGGUAAGGAAUAAUGUCUGGAAACGGGCACUAAUACCUUAUAAUGACUUCGGUCCAAAGAUUUAUCGCCUAAGGAUUAGCCCGCGUCUGAUUAGAUAGUUGGUGAGGUAAUGGCUCACCAAGUCUACGAUCAGUAGGGGGUCUGAGAGGAUGAUCCCCCACACUGGUACUGAGACACGGACCAGACUCCUACGGGAGGCAGCAGUGAGGAAUAUUGCGCAAAUGGAGGAAACUCUGACGCAGCCAUGCCGCGUGAGUGAAGAAGGCCUUA